GGAGUCUGGUCCGUGUCUCAGUACCAGUGUGGGGGACCUUCCUCUCAGAACCCCUACUGAUCGUAGGCCAGGUGGGCCGUUACCCCGCCUGCAACCUAAUCAGACGCAUCCCCAUCCCAUAGCGGUGAACCUUUGUUCCGAAUCAGAUGUCAUCCUCGGAAUACAUAGGGUAUUAAUCCGCAUUUCUACGGGCUAUGCCCUACUAUGGGGAAGGUUGGAUACGCGUUACUCACCCGUGCGCCGGUCGCCAUCUACCAAAGCAAGCUUCGAUAAUGCUGCCCCUCGACUUGCAUGUGUUAAGCCUGUAGCUAGCGUUCAUC
Molecule: ribosomal RNA, 320 nt
Filed under: uncultured Prevotella sp.
Lineage: Bacteria; Pseudomonadati; Bacteroidota; Bacteroidia; Bacteroidales; Prevotellaceae
Description: partial 16S ribosomal RNA
Source: RNAcentral